This 420-nucleotide ribosomal RNA is filed under the name Fusobacteriota bacterium. RNAcentral's name for it is "Fusobacteria bacterium partial 16S ribosomal RNA". It matches the Rfam family "Bacterial small subunit ribosomal RNA", at positions 355 to 776 of the family's 1533-position model. The record is from RNAcentral. Lineage: Bacteria; Fusobacteriati; Fusobacteriota.
UGGGGGAUAUUGCACAAUGGGCGAAAGCCUGAUGCAGCGACGCCGCGUGGGGGAUGAAGGCCUUCGGGUUGUAAACUUCUUUUGCUCUGAACAAGGCAUGCCUUUGGGGUGUGUUGAGUGUAGGGGUUGAUUAGCGCCGGCUAACUACGUGCCAGCAGCCGCGGUAAUACGUAGGGCGCGAGCGUUGUCCGGAAUUGUUGGGCGUAAAGGGCUUGUAGGUGGCUGGUUGCGUCUGUCGUGAAAGCUCAUGGCUUAACUGUGGGUUUGCGGUGGGUACGGGCUGGCUUGAGUGCAGUAGGGGAGGCUGGAAUUCCAGGUGUAGCGGUGGAAUGCGCAGAUAUCAGGAGGAAUACCGGUGGCGAAGGCGGGUCUCUGGGCUGUUACUGACGCUGAGGAGCGAAAGCGUGGGGAGCGAACAGG